AGCACUGUUUAUCCACCUGUUGACCAUGGGUCCAAUUCAUCUCCACCGUCAGCGUGGGCCUCCUCUCUCUCUCUCUCUCUCUCUCUCUCUCUCUCUCCAAUGAGUUAAAUUGAGUUUCCAACUAAUCAUCACCAGAAGGCCACACUGUGAAAAAGUGCGACGGCUUUCUCCCAAAGCUGGGAUCGAUCCACCAAAAUUCGAUCCCCGUCACUCAAUAAAUCCAACUUCUCCCGGUUGAUAUCCGAAAGAGCUUCACCGAUUGAGGUCACGAUAGCCAGAUUGUCACCCUCCAACGGUCAGCCAAUGCGCUUAUGAGAGAUCUACUGGUCCGGCAUAAAUAUCUAUAGUUGCGGACCUUUAUUUGCCUUUUUCUUGCACUAUAUUGCAUCAUAGUUUGUCCGCCAUCUGGGAUAACAAUUGUUACCUUUUUCAAUGGGAGACUCAUUUGACCACCCUGGUUCAAGAAAAGGCUCUGAGGUGGCUAAUGUCAUCAACAAUAAAAAUACUUCUAAAAGAUGUUUGAUUGCAUCUAGCCUUAAGUCGGGCUUGCAGAAUCCUACAAGGAAUACAGUUCCCUUCAAUCAUAUCAGAAUGAGCAGUACUGCUGGUGAUGCAGCAUUGUUUUUAAUCAAGGUUGCUGCACUAGAGACACUGCGGAGGUUUUCAAAGGCAAGAUGUCCAGUUGUAUGGUGUGGUAUUCAGGCGCUGCAAGCUCUCUGCUAUCCACCAUUGAGGUGGAUCCAAAGAUGGGCUCCUUUCAAGGGUUUGAUAAGUAGCAUGCAGACAUUAUCGAGGCCAUUAUUUGUCCUUUCGAUUGCAACUGCAUUCUCUGAUCAACCGGGGCGUCGCAACAUCACCUCUGACGCUGUUGAGGAUUCCCAGGGCGUCAAUUAUUCUCAGGCAUCUUCAGAAUCAAAUUCGGAGUUACCUUCAGCGCAGUCUACUCUUGAUACGAGUGUUCUUGAUGAAGCUCCUCAAAGUUGUCAAUCAUCUACAAAUUGGUUGUCUCAAGUCUAUGAAGAGCUGGAAAAGCAGGGUAUUAAUUUACCAGAAAGAAUUAAUGAGGACGAACUUCACAGAUUCUAUAUUGAUGUAAAUUGUGAUCUACCGUGCUUGCUAUCGUCUGUUAAGAAGACAAUCCUCUGGAGAAAGACUUUUUACAUUCUUUCAGGACAAGAACUUGAGAUGUGGUCGAAUAUGGUCUUCUGGCAUGGAGUUGAUGUGAACUGCAGGCCCUGCCUUAUUGUAAGGCUCGGUCUAGCUUUCAGCAGCUUGUCGUCUCAUGAAAGACCUCGCUUUCUUCAAGCUGUUGUUUCUCAGGUAGAGCAUGGGAUUCUACAUCUGGUUAACCCUGGAAAUCCUCGAAUUACUGUAUUGGUGGAUUGUCAAGGGUUGUCACCUCUGAGAUUUCCCAUGCAAAUGAUGAGAUCAUGUUUUUCGAUUUUUCAAGAGCACUUCCCUGGUCGUCUUGGCUUUGUGUUUGUCAUACGGGUUCCUCCAGUUGUUCGAGUUAUUGCACACGCUGUAACCAAAGUUUUGAAACCUGGCACUCGAGAAAAGCUUAAAAUUGUAGGGGAGAUGUACCAGAAGAUUCUCGCGGAGAACUUUCAGACACUCCCAUCAUAUCUUGGUGGCACAUGCACGUGUGAGAGAUGCUCAAACCGCCUCAUUUGCAAUAUCAGACUCCGUCAAAUAAACAACACCAGCAAAACUGAGAGAAAAGCAGAUGUCAACGGUUGUGAGGACAUACCAUCACCUCGUCAAAGUAAUCUGACAAAUAUGCACAUGAAUGGCAAUUGUGACCAGGCAUUGCGAGCUUCUGUGAUAGCCGUCCUAGUUUUCUGGGUCCUAAUCGCUUUCCUUGCAGGAAUAUACAAUCCUGAAAGCCAUCCGGCUCUGCCUUUCUAAGGAGUAUCUCUUGGACCCGACAUAAUAUGUAAGGCGAGAGGAUGCAAAACAACAGAGGAAGCUCAGGGGGAAGGUUUGUAUACCACGUGUACAUAUAUAUGCAGAACUGAGGACCUUUCCCGCUUCUCAUGCUUCUCAUACAACGAUUUUCUCACAAAUACUUUUGGAGCAUCUUUUUUGAACUGCAUUGGAAGAAGGUGGAUUAAACGCAUAAACAUCUGGUCACACCCAAUGUUCAAGGUUUCUAUUUGAAUAGAUACUGGUGCAGUAUUGUUUUAUUGUGUAGCUUAGUUUUCCGGGUGUGGUUUUAUGUGAAAAUUAGAUUCUCUUCUCGACAGUUUUUCCCAAUCAAAUGUUUUUUUCUGUUGCAUGUAAGAAUAUGUUGAAGCAGAAGUCGAUCAAAGUGAAUGUAAGCAAUUCAGCAAUUCAGAUUCA
Rhododendron vialii is the source of this 2343-nucleotide RNA transcript. RefSeq lists it as uncharacterized. The record is from RefSeq and is a predicted model, not a curated record. The transcript is spliced from 9 exons. Lineage: Eukaryota; Viridiplantae; Streptophyta; Magnoliopsida; Ericales; Ericaceae.